This 501-nucleotide ribosomal RNA is filed under the name uncultured bacterium. RNAcentral's name for it is "bacterial SSU rRNA". It matches the Rfam family "Bacterial small subunit ribosomal RNA", at positions 19 to 518 of the family's 1533-position model. The record is from RNAcentral.
CUGGCUCAGGAUGAACGCUGGCGGCGUGCUUAACACAUGCAAGUCGAACGAAGCAACUUGUCACGAUCCCUCGGGGUGACGACUUGUUGACUGAGUGGCGGACGGGUGAGUAACGCGUGGGUAACCUACCUUGUACAGGGGGAUAACAGUUGGAAACGACUGCUAAUACCGCAUAAGCGCACAGCAUCGCAUGAUGCAGUGUGAAAAAGUUUUUCGGUAUAAGAUGGACCCCGCGUCUGAUUAGCUAGUUGGUGAGGUAACGGCCCACCAAGGCGACGAUCAGUAGCCGACCUGAGAGGGUGACCGGCCACAUUGGGACUGAGACACGGCCCAAACUCCUACGGGAGGCAGCAGUGGGGAAUAUUGCACAAUGGGCGAAAGCCUGAUGCAGCCGACGCCGCGUGAGCGAAGAAGUAUUUCGGUAUGUAAAGCUCUAUCAGCAGGGAAGAUAAUGACGGUACCUGACUAAGAAGCACCGGCUAAAUACGUGCCAGCCGCGGC